AACUCUAUGCGAUGGAUCACUCGGCUCGUGUCGAUGAAAAGCGCAGCCAACUGUGUGGAUUAAUGUGAAUCGCAGACUGCCUUGAACAUCGACCUCUUGAACGCAAAUUGCGGCCGAAGGCCUGCCCACGGCCACGUCUGGCCGAGGGUCG
This 151-nucleotide ribosomal RNA is filed under the name Schistocephalus solidus. RNAcentral describes it as "5.8S ribosomal RNA". It matches the Rfam family "5.8S ribosomal RNA". Rfam says of the family: 5.8S ribosomal RNA (5.8S rRNA) is a component of the large subunit of the eukaryotic ribosome. It is transcribed by RNA polymerase I as part of the 45S precursor that also contains 18S and 28S rRNA. Lineage: Eukaryota; Metazoa; Platyhelminthes; Cestoda; Diphyllobothriidea; Diphyllobothriidae. The record is from Rfam by way of RNAcentral.